RNAcentral lists this unclassified non-coding RNA (346 nucleotides) under soil metagenome. RNAcentral describes it as "partial contains 5.8S ribosomal RNA, internal transcribed spacer 2, and large subunit ribosomal RNA". The stretch from base 1 to 120 matches the Rfam family "5.8S ribosomal RNA", at positions 35 to 154 of the family's 154-position model. The record is from RNAcentral.
GAUGAAGAACGUAGCGAAAUGCGAUAAGUAGUGUGAAUUGCAGACUUUAGUGAAUCAUCGAGUCUUUGAACGCACAUUGCGCCCCCUGGUAUUCCGGGGGGCAUGCCUGUCCGAGCGUCAUUGCUGCCCUCAAGCACGGCUUGUGUGUUGGGCCCCGUCCUCCGAUCCCGGGGGACGGGCCCGAAAGGCAGCGGCGGCACCGCGUCCGGUCCUCGAGCGUAUGGGGCUUUGUCACCCGCUCUGUAGGCCCGGCCGGCGCUUGCCGAUCAACCCAAAUUUUUAUCCAGGUUGACCUCGGAUCAGGUAGGGAUACCCGCUGAACUUAAGCAUAUCAAUAAGCGGAGGA